UUGAGAUAUGAUGAUUACUGAUGAGUUUAUAAAAAGAACUUGUUGGAAUCAAUUCUGUAAGUUUGAUUUCAAA
Cornus florida is the source of this 73-nucleotide small nucleolar RNA. RefSeq annotates it as small nucleolar RNA SNORD113/SNORD114 family. The transcript has a single exon. The record is from RefSeq and is a predicted model, not a curated record. NCBI's taxonomy places the organism in Eukaryota, Viridiplantae, Streptophyta, Magnoliopsida, Cornales, Cornaceae.